RNAcentral lists this ribosomal RNA (253 nucleotides) under uncultured bacterium. RNAcentral describes it as "partial 16S ribosomal RNA". It matches the Rfam family "Bacterial small subunit ribosomal RNA", at positions 524 to 776 of the family's 1533-position model. The record is from RNAcentral.
UACGGAGGGUGCAAGCGUUAUCCGGAUUCACUGGGUUUAAAGGGUGCGUAGGUGGGCAGGUAAGUCAGUGGUGAAACCUCCGGGCUUAACUCGGAAACUGCCAUUGAUACUAUCUGUCUUGAAUACCGUGGAGGUCAGCGGAAUAUGUCAUGUAGCGGUGAAAUGCUUAGAUAUGACAUAGAACACCAAUUGCGAAGGCAGCUGGCUACACGAAUAUUGACACUGAUGCACGAAAGCGUGGGGAUCAAACAGG